This is a long non-coding RNA of Lolium rigidum, 1344 nucleotides long. RefSeq lists it as uncharacterized. Lineage: Eukaryota; Viridiplantae; Streptophyta; Magnoliopsida; Poales; Poaceae. The transcript has 3 exons. The record is from RefSeq and is a predicted model, not a curated record.
UGGUCAUCAAGCAAAAGGCUGACAUCAAGCCCUGGUGCGGGGAGAACAAGGGGACAUGCCUAUGUUGACCUCAAGCACUUGUAAACGCGCCUCGCUGAGGAGGACCACGCUGCCGCCCACCGGAGCCUCACCAUGCACGCUAUGCUGCUCUGAGGAUAAUCGUGCCAGGAAUCUUUUCUACACUCUGUAUUCCUGAUUUCUUCAUGGAAAUGGUUCAAAGUAAGGAGCAGUGGUCGUUGAUUGGUCCCAGCGAAACUCCAGGUUAGAAAUUGUCUCAAUUUUUUGUGUACCUUUUUUGUAGAUCAUAUUUAGAACAACUCUCAACCAAUAUCUGUGUACAUUGUCUUCAAAAAAGUUUAUUUCCUGAAACUGCACUGAGUGGUAAGAAAAAAUGAAUUUAUAUUUCUUUGGUUGCCCGAGUUUUCUUGCAGUUGGAACUAAGAGAGAAAAGUCACUAAAGAGAGGACAUCACGGUUUCGAUAACAAUAAUGAGGCAAGGAAUUAGCCUCAUCAAUCACUAUGGAUCCUAUCGAGAAAAUGUAUAUAUAUUGGUUGCUGGGCACUUGAGUCAGUGAUGCUGAUGUUCCCACCUAGGGUCCUAAUAGUAAUAAUACUAAGAAAACCAAGUUGUACUGAUAAUCUUGACUAUUGUAUUGAUGUAGUUAUAUUCAAUUUCAAUAUGUUCUUCAUUGUUUCUUAUGUACACAUUUAUCAGCAACUGAGAUCUAUAUUUCUAAAAUGUAGAGAUCCAUUACAUCUACUACGGUUUCUCAUUUAGUCUUAAUGCAUUCUAUAUCCUCACUACGAAACAAUCAACCAAGUUUAAAUUGAGAAACUGAGGGGCUUAAUACAGGCCCAGCCACAUGAGAGGGGCUAGAGAAAAUGUUUAUCAAUUUGUUGAGCACCUUUCUUUGCUAAGGAGGUACACAUUUCUCUACCUUAAGGUAUAUCAUUUGGUUAACUUCCCUCACUAGGACCUGUCCUUUUAUGUUGGGUUUACUUCAGAGAUCACUGCAUGAGGGCAAAUAAUCUUGAUGAUGGUCUGGCUUUCCUCGUUGCUAUGAUAUCAAAUUUCACUCUGGAAGGGGAAAACUAAGUAUAUUGAUACAUCAAUUCUGGGGCAAGGAGGAAUCGUGUACUUGGAGGCGUAGAGGAGGGAGAGAAGGAAAUAAGAAAUAGAUUCACGACCAUAGCUUUGCAGGAAAACUAAGUAUAUAUUGUGCUCGAUUUAUUUGACAAGAUACAAUAGCUAAUGCUCAUUGUUCAAUGGCAAUGUAUUGUAAUUUUAGGAACCUAAACUGCAUGCUCUCUCGGAUAGAUGGUACUGGCGUUAGAAAGCACAAA